Long non-coding RNA from Pollicipes pollicipes, 553 nucleotides. RefSeq lists it as uncharacterized. The transcript is spliced from 5 exons. The record is from RefSeq and is a predicted model, not a curated record. Lineage: Eukaryota; Metazoa; Arthropoda; Thecostraca; Pollicipedomorpha; Pollicipedidae.
UUAGCCUGCGCCGCACUGGUCCUGCUCAGCCACGCCGACACCAUCGCUGGUGAAGGCGGAGAUAACCAGACCAGCGCUGGCAACAUCGAGGGCGAUGAAGUGAAGGAAGUACCAGUCUGCGUUGAGCCCUGGAGCUACGAGGGCAGUGCAGGCCCCGGGAAUUGGACAAGUCUUGGCUUUGCGGACUGCACCGGGUUGAGGCAGUCUCCUAUCGAAAUCGUCACGUGCGACUGCAUCCGCUCGAAAAUUCGACGCCUCAGACUGAGGCGCUUUGACAAGGCCCCGGAAAAGAUGACGCUAAGGAACACACUUAACAGCGUCCGUGCGAGCUUGACAUGGGAUGACGACGAAGAUCGACCUCUGGUCAGGGGCGCUGGUCUUCCUGGUAGGUUCGAGGUGGUUGGACUGAACUUCCACUGGGGUGAGAACAACUCUAUCGGCUCAGAUCACGUCAUAGAUUCUUCCAGCCGCGACUACCGUCAUCAUGACAACCACCGUGCGCACCUCUACUGUUGCGAUUAAAAGAACGUUUGUGUUUGGUCCAGGGCGCAAG